RNAcentral lists this non-coding RNA (148 nucleotides) under Homo sapiens (human). The record is from Rfam by way of RNAcentral. Lineage: Eukaryota; Metazoa; Chordata; Mammalia; Primates; Hominidae.
GCUGGGCGUGGUGGCGCGUGCCUGUAAUCCCAGCUACUCAGGAGGCUGAGGCAGGAGAAUCGCUUGAACCCGGGAGGCGGAGGUUGCAGUGAGCUGAGAUCGCGCCACUGCACUCCAGCCUGGGCAACAGAGCAAGACUCAGUCUCAA